Phyllostomus hastatus (greater spear-nosed bat) is the source of this 537-nucleotide long non-coding RNA. RefSeq lists it as uncharacterized. NCBI's taxonomy places the organism in Eukaryota, Metazoa, Chordata, Mammalia, Chiroptera, Phyllostomidae. The transcript has 4 exons. The record is from RefSeq and is a predicted model, not a curated record.
CUCGCUGUCACGGCGUCGUCAUGGCGACCGGGCGGUGGUGGCUGCUUGGCCGCGAGGCAGACGACGCGACGAAGGGAGGACAGGAGAGGGGCUGCCUGGCCACCACGGUCCUCCCGGGGCGGCUCCCCUGCCCACAGCAGGCUGGAACACCCCGUUAACUCCUAUGCGGCAUGCAAUUCAGGCGGAGGCCUUUACCUCGGGCUGCAGAGAACACCGAAGGCAUAAGCGAUGGAGGCCCUAGUCCUAAGGCUGUCUUCAGGGGGAGCAGAGGGUGCGGGAAAAUAGCGGCCCGGCAGGAGCAGCCAGAGUGUCCAGCAGAGGAGCAGCGACGGGGCAGAAGAGGCGGACAGGCAGCGAGGCAGGGGAUUGGACACAAAGCUUCCUGAGCCACCAAUGAAGAUACUUUUGUUUCAGUAACUACAGAUAAGGCCUAUCUUGGUGCCUAAGAAUAAACAGAUGACCUCUUGGAGACCUCUGUGCCAGGAAGAAGCAAGGGACUACCCUUCCCCCUUGGAGGCAACUGUUGAAUUUCAAAGG